Molecule: unclassified non-coding RNA, 205 nt
Filed under: Hevea brasiliensis (rubber tree)
Lineage: Eukaryota; Viridiplantae; Streptophyta; Magnoliopsida; Malpighiales; Euphorbiaceae
Source: RNAcentral
UUGUUUUUGAAUUUUGUUUUCUGUUUGUGUCAUCUGUGGGUCUGAUUAAUCAACAAACAAGCAUCUGCCUAUGAUUCUCUGUGUUUUUACGAUUUUAUAGCUCAGAGAAUACGAAGCGAUGCGAAAUCAAAGGUGCUUAUGGACAAGCAGAUUUCUAUUUUCAAUGGAUUUUGCUUUUUCUCGUAGGUUCCACAAAUUUUCUCCU